AGUAGAAUGGCUGAGUUUUAGGCAAUAAAUUGUAAAUUUAUUUAGGAAGUUACUUCUUCUACUA
This 64-nucleotide transfer RNA is filed under the name Bostrichoidea sp. 9 KM-2017. RNAcentral's name for it is "tRNA-Tyr". The record is from RNAcentral. Lineage: Eukaryota; Metazoa; Arthropoda; Insecta; Coleoptera.